ACUGUACUCAAGACUGUCCUGGCCCCCGGUGUAAGUUUUCUACCAUGGUCAGCACCCCGCUGGAGUAUUGGGGUGAAGCAAGGACUUUCCCCGAUUACCAUUCUGGGAAAGGAGGGGUGACAAACAACUGCUACCUUGAAGAGCGGGUGCCUGCCUAGCCCCAGACUUGCUUCCUGAGACAAGCAACUUUUAAUUUUCCACGUAUGGCCGAGGGGAUUGGGGCAGACCGAUUUCUAUCAGUUUUCCCACGUAGUGGAAGAGGAGAAAGAGAGCCAACAGGUGAGAAUCUUUACCCAAAUGUCUCAAGAACUACUCAUUUUUCAACGACACCAGACUGAUACCUUCUCUCAUGCAGUCCGAGUCGGAGGUCACAGGGAUGAAUUCCCCCAGUUUGGCCUCAUCUUUAAACCACUGGUCCAGAGAACUCUACUAAGAACCAGACAGACCUUCUCAUUCUCUUUGCCAUCUCCACCAAUACAACCAGGAAAACUGUACCAUGUCCAGGGACUGAACUCAUGGAUUCUUUUCUUCCAGUGUCAUCGUCCUCCUGCACGGUCGCCUUCAUUUACAUCAGGAGCUCUUCCCCUUUUUUUGUGUCAUGAAUGAGGCAUCAGGAAAGCUGCUGGACUGAAGGGGGUGCUAAGAUCAGAAGAGAGAACACAGACAGGCACAAAGCACGAGACAUAGAAGGCAGGGGAAGAGGUGAAUGGCGUGCAAGAAGGGGGCCAGAAGGUCCAAAUUUCAGCCCAAGCUAUACCACGAAGUAGCCUGGAACCACAGGGAAGUCCCUUUCCUGUCUGGGCCUCAGCUUCUGCAGCUGCAAGAUCACACCCCACCUGAAUGGAGGACUUCAAGGAGUGGGACCUGGUCGGGGGCAGAGCAGAGAGCCUCUCCUUACUAUCACUCAAUGACCCCCAGGGCUGAGAGCUGCACCUCUGUCUCUCUCUGUUGCAAAGAGGAAUCAGGGACCCCCUCCACAUCUCCAGUAUCCUGGAAUCAACAAGUAAGGGAGACUGG
Molecule: long non-coding RNA, 1017 nt
Organism: Vombatus ursinus (common wombat)
Lineage: Eukaryota; Metazoa; Chordata; Mammalia; Diprotodontia; Vombatidae
Exons: 3
Source: RefSeq, a predicted model, not a curated record